This 541-nucleotide ribosomal RNA is filed under the name Sympiezoscelus sp. ARC4868. RNAcentral describes it as "partial 16S large subunit ribosomal RNA". It matches the Rfam family "Bacterial large subunit ribosomal RNA", at positions 1819 to 2625 of the family's 2925-position model. Lineage: Eukaryota; Metazoa; Arthropoda; Insecta; Coleoptera; Curculionidae. The record is from RNAcentral.
GGCCUAUUGAGAAUAAUUUUAGGUCUGACCUGCCCAAUGAUUAAUAUGAUUUAAUGGCCGCGGUAUAUUGACUGUGCAAAGGUAGCAUAAUCAUUAGUUUUUUAAAUGAAAGCUGGAAUGAAUGGUUUGAUGAAAAAGUAGCUGUCUCUAUUUAAUUUUUUUUUGAAUUUUAUUUUUAAGUGAAAAAGCUUAAAUUUUUAUAGAAGACGAGAAGACCCUAUAGAGUUUUAUAUUUAUAUGUGUAAAAAUUAUUUAGAAUUAUAAGUUUUAUUUAUAUAUUUAUUUAAUUGGGGUGAUUGAAAAAUUUAAGAAACUUUUUUUUAAUUGAAGUCAUUUAUUUAUGAAUUUAUGAUCCUUAUUUAAAGAUUAAAAGAUAAAAUUACCUUAGGGAUAACAGCGUAAUUUUUUUUGAAAGUUCUUAUUAAAAAAAAAGAUUGCGACCUCGAUGUUGGAUUAAAUUUAAUUUUUGGUGUAGAAGCUAAGAUAUUAGGUCUGUUCGACCUUUAAAAAUUUACAUGAUCUGAGUUUAAACCGGUGUGAG